UCCGAUGUUGUCUAGUGGUUAGGAUCCCUGGCUUUCACCCAGGUGGCCCGGGUUCAAUUCCCGGCAUCGGAA
This 72-nucleotide transfer RNA is filed under the name Gigantopelta aegis. Its description in RNAcentral is "tRNA-Glu". It matches the Rfam family "tRNA". Rfam says of the family: Transfer RNA (tRNA) molecules are approximately 80 nucleotides in length. Their secondary structure includes four short double-helical elements and three loops (D, anti-codon, and T loops). Further hydrogen bonds mediate the characteristic L-shaped molecular structure. tRNAs have two regions of fundamental functional importance: the anti-codon, which is responsible for specific mRNA codon recognition, and the 3' end, to which the tRNAs corresponding amino acid is attached (by aminoacyl-tRNA synthetases). tRNAs cope with the degeneracy of the genetic code in two manners: having more than one tRNA (with a specific anti-codon) for a particular amino acid; and 'wobble' base-pairing, i.e. permitting non-standard base-pairing at the 3rd anti-codon position. Lineage: Eukaryota; Metazoa; Mollusca; Gastropoda; Neomphalida; Peltospiridae. The record is from RNAcentral.